GGUCACUGCGCUGGUUGGGGCGCUGAGCACGGGACCGGCCGGCUUCAGCCACGUCCAGGCCCCGGCUGGCCACCAGGUGAGCGCUCCCGAGCGCUCCCAACGCGUCGCGGGCGGCCGUGCGUCCACCAGGCCAAGUACAGGUCAUGGAGCGGCGCCCUGGGGGCGGCACGGACCCUAGGGGAAGCAAAGGAGGUACCGGGCUCGGGGUGGGAGGGUGGUGGGUGCGUCCCUGCCAGCCCUCGCACCUCCUGUCUGCUCCUCACCUUCUCCUUCUGACAGGUGGUAAACAAAGCAGCCCUGGCGCCCGAGUGGCGGCGGCGGCGAGCGGCGGGGGCGGCGGCGGUGGAGGGCAGCGGCCCAGCGACCCCAGCUGGGCUCGAGGAGCCGCACCCACACCCACACCCACACCUGCGCCGCGGGGCGGCGCACCAGACCCCGGGACUCCAAGGAGUCUCGGGGGAGGUGUGCUGGAGGGGUCUGCCCAGGGCGGUGGCGGUCCCCAGCCCGAGGAUGCCAGCGCCAGACAGUUCCUGGCGCGGCUGAAAGCUCGCCCCCUGGCGGCCCGAGCUGCGGCCGACGUGGCGGCGCUGGUACGCAGGGCCGGCGCCACCUUGCGCCUGCGCCCCAAGGAGGCCCUUAGAAUACCAGAAGGACAAUGACAUCAUGGAUUUGUCCCAAGAUGCCCUUGCCUCCUAGGAAGAGUUCCUGGCAUGUCAAGUACAGUCGGUUUUAAAAGCCUUGCGUUGUACUUCCCUGGUCGUGCAGUGGCUAAUGUUCAAGGCUCCCAAUGUAGGGGGCCAGGUUCAGUUACCUUGGGGAAUUGGAUCCUAAGUAACUAAGACCUUGCACAGCCAAAUAAAUAAGUAUUAAAAAAAAAAAAACACGUGUAAUUUUGAGAAGCUUGAACCAUCC
This is a long non-coding RNA of Bos taurus (domestic cattle), 912 nucleotides long. NCBI's taxonomy places the organism in Eukaryota, Metazoa, Chordata, Mammalia, Artiodactyla, Bovidae. The record is from Ensembl.